Molecule: long non-coding RNA, 827 nt
Organism: Acipenser ruthenus (sterlet)
Lineage: Eukaryota; Metazoa; Chordata; Actinopteri; Acipenseriformes; Acipenseridae
Exons: 4
Source: RefSeq, a predicted model, not a curated record
UCAGUUCUACUCCGUAUGUACUGUAGAUAUUGAUGAUUUAUCACUAUGAUCUGGUUCAGUCUUAUUUAGCAAAAUCAGCUUGGUUGUACUUUUUGUUGUUAGGACAUUUACAGUAAUAUAUUUCUGGUUUUUGGUGGCUUUUUCAAGUUUAUUUCACUCCAAUACCAUGUUAUUUUUUUAGAAUAACAAUGUAUGCAGUGGUUUUGUUCAAGGAAACUGAGGAGGUGGAAGUUGUACCAUCAGUUUGGUUGAAUGUGGAUAAACUUUUGUGCCUGUGGCCUUCUUAUAAAAGUACUGUAAGAGUUCGAAAAGCAGUGAGAGCUUCAGGAGACACCCACCGAGACAUGGGACAAACACGAAGUACGGGUGCUUCAUGAGACAGUGACAUAUGAGAAGGCGCGCAAGAAACUGAGAAGGGCAACCGAAACAUCCGAUCUGAACACCACAGAUGAUGAACAAACACGGAAGCGGAAACCCUCUACAAAGCUGUCAUUUCUAGAAGAUGAAGAAGAUUUUUCCAUAAGCAAGAAUGUGAGAUCAUCACAAAGGAUGCCACUCUUGCCAACUCCACCUUUGUUUCCAACAACAGUAGCAUCACCCAGCAGCAGCAGCAGCAGCAAGAACACCAGCAACAGUGAAGAUGGAAAUAUCAGCAGUGAUGACAGGAACUACAACAGCAACACCAGCAGCAAUGACACUGGAACUGGGAACAGGGACAAGAGCAGCUAUGUGCCUCUAUCAGACAGGGAUAGGAUGAUCUUCACCAUUUUAGAAGAAAUCAAGGGCCAGGGGAGACAAAACACCCUGAUGCUUCAGGCACUUCGCAA